Molecule: RNA transcript, 2082 nt
Organism: Eutrema salsugineum
Lineage: Eukaryota; Viridiplantae; Streptophyta; Magnoliopsida; Brassicales; Brassicaceae
Gene name: serine carboxypeptidase-like 18
Exons: 13
Source: RefSeq, a predicted model, not a curated record
UUGCUAUAGAGAGAACAGGUUUAAUCAAAACCAAAUAAAGAAAGACACUAUUUCGACUUGAUCGGCUCGGCUAUACUGCCCAGCCUUUAAGUAAACUCUUCCUUCUUUUUUCUGUUUUGUUGCCUGAAACGAAAUCAAGAACUUAAAAAGGAGUUAAUCAAGAAUGUCUAGAGCAUGGAAAUUGAGGUUGCUUCUUCUCCUUCAUCUGCUCCUCUUGACUCAACAGGGUGUUAAUUCAGCCUCUGUGAUUAGCUAUCUUCCUGGUUUCGAAGGUCCUCUUCCUUUCCACCUUGAAACUGGCUAUAUUGCUGUUGGUGAGGAAGAGAAAGUUAAACUGUUCUACUACUUCAUCAAAUCAGAGAACAAUCCUGAAGAAGACCCUCUUCUUAUCUGGUUAUCGGGAGGACCUGGUUGCACUUCUCUCUCUGCCCUUGCUUUUGAAAUCGGACCUUUGACUUUCAAAACUGAGGGUAACAAUGGAGGUUUAACUUCUCUUGUUUCCACUUCAUAUUCUUGGACAAAGGUAGCUAGCAUAAUAUUCUUGGAUCAACCUGUUGGGACUGGCUUCUCCUACUCAACAACUCCUCUAGCUGAUAAGCCUAGUGACACAGGAGAAGCAAAGCAGACUUAUGAGUUUCUUCGAAAGUGGCUUGUGGAUCAUCCAGAGUUUGUCUCAAACCCUUUUUAUGUUGGCGGAGAUUCUUAUGCCGGUGUAGUUGUUCCAGCUAUUGUUCAACAGAUCUCAAUAGGAAAUGAGCAUGGUUACAAACCUCUAAUCAAUCUUAAGGGUUAUGUUCUUGGGAACCCGACAACAGAUUAUGAUAGUGAUUAUAACUAUAGGAUUCCAUAUGCUCAUGGAAUGGGACUGAUCUCUGACGAACUCUAUGAGUCGCUUAAGAGAAGCUGCGAAGGAAGUUAUCUAAAAGUAGAUCCUUCUAAUACACAAUGCUUGAAAUUAGUGGAAGACUACGAUAAGUGUAUUUCAAGGAUAAAUCUCGCAUUAAUUUUGACACCAUUGUGUGAUCUUGAAUCGCUGAAUUCGUUUUCAAAAUAUCAUCUUGGAAGAAGAGAUCUUAGGGAACUUGUUCACUCACAUCUUCCUCUUCAACCUCGUGAUUGCUAUUCUUAUCGGUAUUUGCUAGCUACAAAUUGGGCUAAUGAUGAAGAUGUACGCCGAGCACUUCAUGUGGUGAAAGGAAGUAUAGCGAAAUGGGUGAGAUGCGACUGGGAUAUGGCUUAUGAGAAAGAUAUAAAGAGCAGUAUACCGUUUCAUCAAAACAUUAGCAUCAAAGGGAUUUAUAGGUCAUUGGUUUAUAGUGGAGAUCAUGACAUGAUGGUGCCUUUUCUUGGAACUCACGCUUGGAUCAAAUCUCUAAACUAUUCGAUCAUUGAUCACUGGAGGCCAUGGUUUGUUGACAAUCAAGUUAUCGGAUACACAAGGACUUACGCCAACAAUAUGACAUUUGCCACUAUCAAAGGAGGAGGGCACACUGCAGAGUAUAAACCAGAUGAGAGCUUCAUGAUGUUUCAAAAGUGGAUACGUGGUCAACCUCUGUAACAUAGUGAGGUUCAACGAAUACAAACAUCAUGAUAUAUAUAGCUUUAUAAAGAUCAAAUAAUUCACCUUUCUCAGUUCUCUCACGAGGGCGAAGCAUAGAUAGAAUGCUUCCAAACAGCUGCUUCCGGCCUUCACGAGUUUCUGAAUAUUACCGGCCAAACUUCAUUAGAUUUGGUAUUGCUUGGUCCUUAUACCGUAUCAAUGGAGAAAAAAUUAUGCAAGGCAGCUCAUCAAUUGAACCAGUACGUAGUAUCUCCAUUAGCAGCUGAAGCAAGAGCAUUAUUAAGGGCAAUUCAAGAAAUGAGAAUACUAGCUUAUGAAGAAGUCUUGUUUGUUGGGGACAACAAUGUUCUUUUUAGGAGCGUUAAUGCAAUGCACAACUCGAGAAAGAGACAAUAUUGGUGUCACCCAGAUAUAUCAAUAGAAGUCAAAGACAUUGUUAAGAUAUCAUGUAGGGGUAUGAGAUGUUCAUUUAUGUAUGUUAAUCGUAAUGUUGUAUGGGAAGUUGAUAGGCUUGCUAAGAU